Parvimonas micra is the source of this 333-nucleotide non-coding RNA. It matches the Rfam family "Bacterial RNase P class A". From Rfam's summary of the family: Ribonuclease P (RNase P) is a ubiquitous endoribonuclease, found in archaea, bacteria and eukarya as well as chloroplasts and mitochondria. Its best characterised activity is the generation of mature 5'-ends of tRNAs by cleaving the 5'-leader elements of precursor-tRNAs. Cellular RNase Ps are ribonucleoproteins. NCBI's taxonomy places the organism in Bacteria, Bacillati, Bacillota, Tissierellia, Tissierellales, Peptoniphilaceae. The record is from Rfam.
UAAGUAAAACAGACAAUCGCGUGAGAUAAUCACGAGGAAAGUCCGUGCACCAUAGAGUAGAAUGCUGGAUAACGUCCAGUGGGGGCGACCCUAAGGCUAGUGCAACAGAGAUAUACCGCCAUUUAUAAUGGUAAGGGUGGAAAGGUGAGGUAAGAGCUUACCAGCAUAUAGGAGACUAUAUGGCUAUGUAAACCCCAUUCGGUGCAAGAUCAAGAUUGAACUUUUGUAGUUGCUCGCUACGUUCAUAGGUAGAUUGCUUGAACAAAUUGGCAACAAUUUGUCUAGAUAGAUGAUUGUCUAAUACAGAACACGGCUUAUAGUUUUGCUUAAUAU